UGGCUCAGACGGUAAAGCAUCUGCCUGCAAUGCAGAAGACCCGGGCUCAAUUUCUGG
RNAcentral lists this transfer RNA (57 nucleotides) under Bos taurus (domestic cattle). It matches the Rfam family "tRNA", at positions 8 to 63 of the family's 71-position model. From Rfam's summary of the family: Transfer RNA (tRNA) molecules are approximately 80 nucleotides in length. Their secondary structure includes four short double-helical elements and three loops (D, anti-codon, and T loops). Lineage: Eukaryota; Metazoa; Chordata; Mammalia; Artiodactyla; Bovidae. RNAcentral also lists the same sequence under 1 other name. The record is from Rfam by way of RNAcentral.